This is a non-coding RNA of Callithrix jacchus (white-tufted-ear marmoset), 1402 nucleotides long. The record is from RefSeq and is a predicted model, not a curated record. Lineage: Eukaryota; Metazoa; Chordata; Mammalia; Primates; Cebidae.
CAGGGAUUUUCCGGAGAAAUGAUACCGGACGAGAGGCGGAGCUGCGAGGAACUUUACAGGGAAAAUCGAAAGUGCAACUAGCUGCGGGCAAGAGCCGCCGAGGCUGGGCUUCCUUGGAUGGAGUCUCACUAAGUUGCCCAAGCUGGAGUAUAGUGGCUAUUCACAGGCACAAUUAUAGUGAGUCUUAAACUCAUGGGCUCAAGGGAUCCUCCUGGCCUCAAGCAAUCCUUCUGCUUCAGCCAUCCAGAGUAGUGGGGAUUACAGACAUGUGUCAUCGCACCAGGCUAUUCUGAACUAUUUUGUUAUUUGAUGCUACUGUAAAUUGAAUUGUUUUUAAGACUUCAUUUUCAAAUUGUCUGUUGCUACUAUACGAAAAUACAAGUGAUUUUCGUUUGUUGACCUUAUAACAUCCAACACUACUAACUUCACUUAUUCUAAUAAUUGUUCUGUAAAUUCCUUUUUCUAGGCAAAUAAUGAUGUCAUUUGUGAAUACAUAACUUCUUGCUUUCCAAUCUUUAUGCCUUUUAUUUCCUUUCCUUAUAGUUUUACCUUUUUUUUUUUUUUUUUUUGAGACAGACUCUCGCUUUUGUCAACCAGGCUGCUGCAGCCUCUACCUCCCAGGCUCAAGGAUCCUCGGAUCCUCCCACCUCAGCCUCCUGAGUAGCCUCCUGCACGCCACUACACCUGGCUAAUUUUUGUAUUUUUUGUAGAGAUGGGGUUCCGCUAUGAUUCCCGGGCUGGUCUCAAACCCCUGAACUCAAGUGAUCCACCCAUCUCAGCCUCUCAAAGUGCUAGGAUUACAGACAUGAGCCACCAUGCCGAGCCAGUUUUACUUCUUUCCAGUCUUCAUGCUUUUUGCUUUAUUAUUGUACCUCCUAGAACCUCCUACAGAAAGUUGAAUAAAAGUGGUGACAGUUUGACACCAUUACUUUAUUGCUUAUUUCAGUGGGGAAAUAAUCAAUGUAGUAAUAAUCACUUUAAAUUUAUGGUAGCUGUAAAUUUUUCUUAGAUACCUUUUAUCAGAUUGAUGAAGUUCUGUUUUAUUCCUGGUUUGCUGAGUUUUUAUAAUGCAUAGGUAUUGAAUUUUUCAAAUGUAUUUUCCCGCAUUUAUUGAGGUGAUCAUAUAUUCUGUUAAUGUACCAAAUUUCAUUGAUCAAUAUUUCAAUGUUAACCCGACCUACCAUUCCUGGAAUAAAUCUCAUUCAGUUUUAGAUACAAAGGAUGCUACAUCAUGACCAAAUGAGUAUUUUAAUAACUUUUGUGUCUGAUUUUCUUGUAAUGCCUUUAUCAGGUUUUGAUAUCAGAGUUAUGCUAGUAUCAUAAAACAUGAGUUUGUUUCAGAUUGGUAUCGUUUUUCCCUUAAUGUUUAACAGAAUUCACCAAUAAAACCAUUUGGGCUUGA